This 559-nucleotide long non-coding RNA is filed under the name Rattus norvegicus (Norway rat). Its description in RNAcentral is "long non-coding RNA NONRATT005162". The record is from RNAcentral. Lineage: Eukaryota; Metazoa; Chordata; Mammalia; Rodentia; Muridae.
AAUAACAACACCCCCACCCCGGCCAGGACUAGUAGAUCCCCUUUAUUACGUGACCACAUUUUCAGUAUGAAACAAUUUUCUUUGUAUUUGAUGGUUGUCUUUGCUCUGCUGUAAGUGUUGCCUGACACGAAUUUCCGCUCAUUUUUCUUUUUGUAUUUGUCCUUUGACUAUUGUGAGCAAAAAUGUAUACAUUCUCUAUCUUUUUAGUGUACUUCUGUUUUUGUGUAUAACCUGAUUUAGAUUUAAAAUUUUUAUGAGUGUUCAUUUGCAUAUAUAUAUGUGUAUAUAUAUUAUAUAUAUAUGCAUGUGUAUGUGCACGAUGUGCAUGCAGUGCCCACAAAGGCCAGAAGAGGGCAUUGGAACCCCAGGAACUGAAGUUACCAAUGAUUGUGAGCAACUGUGUUGGUGCUGGGAACCUACACCAGAUCCUCUUCAAGAGGAGCAGGUGUUCUUAAUUGGUGAACCGCCUCUCCAGCCUAUAGUUGGGUCUUGCUUUGAUGUUCCAAAUCUGUUUAUCUCUGCCACUUUCUCUCUCUCUCUCUCUCUCUCUCUCUCUCUC